GGCUCAGAACGAACGCUGGCGGCGUGCUUAACACAUGCAAGUCGAACGAACCUUCGGGUUAGUGGCGGACGGGUGAGUAACGCGUGAGAAUCUGCCCUCAGGAGGGGGAUAACGGUUGGAAACGACCGCUAAUACCCCAUAUGCCGAGAGGUGAAAAGAAAUUCGCCUGAGGAUGAGCUCGCGUCUGAUUAGCUAGUUGUUCUGGUAAUGGCGCAGCUAAACUUCGAUCAGUAGCUGGUCUGAGAGGAUGAUCAGCCAC
RNAcentral lists this ribosomal RNA (259 nucleotides) under uncultured bacterium. Its description in RNAcentral is "partial 16S ribosomal RNA". It matches the Rfam family "Bacterial small subunit ribosomal RNA", at positions 21 to 311 of the family's 1533-position model. The record is from RNAcentral.